GACUCUGGAGAGUCCCUGUACCACAGGGCGCCGAAGGUGUACGGCAGAAGCUUCUGCCAAUCUCUCAGGCAAAAGGACAGAGCAU
RNAcentral lists this non-coding RNA (85 nucleotides) under pig gut metagenome. RNAcentral's name for it is "Glycine riboswitch". It matches the Rfam family "Glycine riboswitch aptamer", at positions 9 to 86 of the family's 94-position model. From Rfam's summary of the family: This family represents the bacterial glycine riboswitch. Glycine riboswitches usually consist of two metabolite-binding aptamers domains with similar structures in tandem. The record is from RNAcentral.